AACCUGGGGCUUGCUCCAGGGGAGAGUGGCGCACGGGUGAAUAACGCGUAGGUAAUGUUCCUAUUGGCUGGGAAUAACCUGCCGAAAGGCGGGCUAAUACCCAAUAAGUUCCCUUGAGGUUCGCCUUGGGGGAAGAAAGCAGGGCAACUUGCACCGAUAGAUCAGCCUGCGUCCCAUCAGCUUGUUGGUGAGGUAACGGCUCACCAAGGCUACGACGGGUAGCUGGUCUGAGAGGAUGAUCAGCCACACUGGGACUGAGACACGGCCCAGACUCCUACGGGAGGCAGCAGUGGGGAAUAUUGGACAAUGGGCGAAAGCCUGAUCCAGCAAUGCCGCGUGAGUGAUGAAGGCCUUCGGGUUGUAAAGCUCUGUCGGGAGGGACGAAAAAGCCGGUUAACACCCGGUAUUGACGGUACCUCCAAAGGAAGCACCGGCUAACUCUGUGCCAGCAGCCGCGGUAAUACAGAGGGUGCAAGCGUUGUUCGGAAUUACUGGGCGUAAAGCGCGUGUAGGUGGCGAUGUAAGUCGGGUGUGAAAUCCCUUGGCUCAACCAAGGAAGUGCACUCGAUACUGUGUCGCUUGAGUACCGGAGGGGAUGGCGGAAUUCCCGGUGUAGAGGUGAAAUUCGUAGAUAUCGGGAGGAACACCUGUGGCGAAGGCGGCCAUCUGGACGGUCACUGACACUGAGACGCGAAAGCGUGGGUAGCAAACAGGAUUAGAUACCCUGGUAGUCCACGCUGUAAACGAUGAGUGCUAGACGUCAUGGGUAUUGACCCCCGUGGUGUCGAAGUUAACACGUUAAGCACU
This 807-nucleotide ribosomal RNA is filed under the name uncultured Pseudomonadota bacterium. RNAcentral's name for it is "bacterial SSU rRNA". It matches the Rfam family "Bacterial small subunit ribosomal RNA", at positions 70 to 868 of the family's 1533-position model. The record is from RNAcentral. Lineage: Bacteria; Pseudomonadati; Pseudomonadota.